Molecule: ribosomal RNA, 254 nt
Filed under: uncultured bacterium
Lineage: Bacteria
Description: partial 16S ribosomal RNA
Rfam family: Bacterial small subunit ribosomal RNA
Source: RNAcentral
UACGAAGGGGGCUAGCGUUGCUCGGAAUCACUGGGCGUAAAGCGCACGUAGGCGGACUCUUAAGUCGGUGGUGAAAUCCUGGAGCUCAACUCCAGAACUGCCUUCGAUACUGGGAGUCUUCGAGUUCGGGAGAGGUGAGUGGAACUGCGAGUGUAGAGGUGAAAUUCGUAGAUAUUCGCAAGAACACCAGUGGCGAAGGCGGCUCACUGGUCCGAUACUGACGCUGAGGUGCGAAAGCGUGGGGAGCAAACAGG